UAACAUGAAUGACUCAGAUUCUGAAGGAAGAAAAGGAAUGGCAAACUAUGUUCCAGGAGAAGUAGAAUUACUGCAUCACAGGGCACUUCAUUUUUAGAUUAUGUAUCAUGGCGGCAGACCUUCAAUACCAAGGUGCAUCUUCUCCAGCAAGUUCUUCAGCAUCCUUUCCAGAAGCAUUCGGCAGCCGAGAAAGCAGGCUACACCUUACCUACUCCUUCCUGGGCUAAAGAUCUCAGACUUAGUUGCUUAUCUUAAUUUGGGGAAAAUAAAUUAAGGAGUUCUUCUAUCAUUGAGCACAACAUAAUAUAAUCUAUUUAAU
RNAcentral lists this small RNA (319 nucleotides) under Pan troglodytes (chimpanzee). RNAcentral describes it as "processed transcript". The record is from RNAcentral. Lineage: Eukaryota; Metazoa; Chordata; Mammalia; Primates; Hominidae.